GACGAACGCUGGCGGCGUGCUUAACACAUGCAAGUCGAACGGAAAGGCCCUGCUUUUGUGGGGUGCUCGAGUGGCGAACGGGUGAGUAACACGUGAGUAACCUGCCCUUGACUUUGGGAUAACUUCAGGAAACUGGGGCUAAUACCGGAUAGGAGCUCCUGCUGCAUGGUGGGGGUUGGAAAGUUUCGGCGGGUGGGGAUGGACUCGCGGCUUAUCAGCUUGUUGGUGGGGGAGUGGCUUACCAAGGCUUUGACGGGUAGCCGGCCUGAGAGGGUGACCGGCCACCUUGGGCCUGAGGUACGGCCCAGACUCCUACGGGAGGCAGCAGUGGGGAAUAUUGCACAAUGGGCGGAAGCCUGAUGCAGCAACGCCGCGUGCGGGAUGACGGCCUUCGGGUUGUAAACCGCUUUCGCCUGUGACGAAGCGUGAGUGACGGUAAUGGGUAAAGAAGCACCGGCUAACUACGUG
Molecule: ribosomal RNA, 468 nt
Filed under: uncultured bacterium
Lineage: Bacteria
Description: partial 16S ribosomal RNA
Rfam family: Bacterial small subunit ribosomal RNA
Source: RNAcentral